Small nuclear RNA from Acomys russatus (golden spiny mouse), 107 nucleotides. NCBI's taxonomy places the organism in Eukaryota, Metazoa, Chordata, Mammalia, Rodentia, Muridae. The record is from RefSeq and is a predicted model, not a curated record.
AUGCUCACUUAGGCAGCACAAACAUCGAAACUGAAAUAAUACAGAAAAUAUUAGCGUGGCCCCUGCAAAAGGGUGACACACAAAUUCAUGAAGCACUGUAUGUUAAA